Molecule: small nucleolar RNA, 97 nt
Organism: Spermophilus dauricus (Daurian ground squirrel)
Lineage: Eukaryota; Metazoa; Chordata; Mammalia; Rodentia; Sciuridae
Source: Ensembl
AAUGGCACAGUGAUAACUUGAACUAUCUUUGCCAUCUACUCAGCUGAGAAUUUCUUUGAAGAAAUUUAGAAAAAAAAUUUUUUUGGUCCCAGCUGUU